UAAAGGCAUACGGUGGAUGCCUUGGUCGAAAGUACCGAUGAAGGACGUACUAGGCGACGAUACUCUGCGGGGAGCUGCCAAGAAGCUUUGAUCCGCAGGUUUCCGAAUGGGAUAACCCCUCGCCUCGGCGAGACCCUAACAUAAAUUCAUAGUGUUAGGGAGGGCACGCGCUGAACUGAAACAUCUAAGUAAGCGCAGGAAAAGAAAUCAAAAGAGAUUCCCUUAGUAGCGGCGAGCGAAAAGGGAAGAGCCUAAACUUCGAUGAUCCCGCAAGGGGCUAUCGGAGGGUUGUGAGGCGGCAGUAGCGAGUAGCAAGGAUAGCUGAAGUCGCUGGAAAGCGGCGCCAAAGAGAGUGAUAGUCUCGUAAGCGAAAUCCAAGCUGCCGUGGCCGGUUCCUCAAGUAGCCCAGGACACGUGUAAUCCUGGGUGAAUCUAGGGAGACCACUCUCUAAGGCUAAAUAUACUUUCGGACCGAUAGUGAACUAGUACCGUGAGGGAAAGGUGAAAAGAAGAGCGGAACGCUCAGUGAAAUAGUACCUGAAACCGUAUGUUGUCAAGCUGUGGAAGUCCGAUGUAACAUCGGACAACCGCGUGCCUAUUGAAGAAUGAACCGGUGAGUUGUCUCAUCCGCCAAGUCUAAGUCGUUAAGGCGAAUUAGGCGUAGUGAAAGCGAGCGUUAAAUGCGCGACUAAGGCGGUUGUGGCAGACCCGAAACCGAGUGAGCUAACCAUGUCCAGGGUGAACGGUCGAGAAAUCGACCGGAAGGCCCGAACUCGUAACAGUGGCAAUUGUUUGGGAUGAGGUGUGGUUAGAGAUGAUAUGUCAAUCGAACUCGGAUAUAGCUGGUUCUCCCCGAAAUAUAUUGAAGUAUAGCCCUGUGAACCCUGAGUUUAUCGAAGGGUGUAAUCUUACGGGGGGUAGAGCUCUGGAUGGAUUUGGGUGGCGCAAGCUAUCCAAUCCAAUCAAACUGCGAAUACCUGUAAGUGUAACAGGAGUCAGACCGAUCCGGCUAAGCGGAGCGGUCCUAAGGGAAACAGCCCAGACCGACAGCUAAGGUCCCUAAAUACAGACUAAGUGUAAAAGGAGGUCAAAUUCCUUAGACAGCCAGGAGGUUGGCUUAGAAGCAGCCAUCCUUUAAAGAAAGCGUAACAGCUCGCUGGUCUACUAUGGGAUUUGGCGCCGACAACGAAUCGGGGCUCAAGUCUGUUACCGAAGCUACGGAUUCCGCCGAAAGGCGAGAGUGGUAGGGGAGCGUUCUAUACGCAGUGAAGCUGCAUUGUGAAGUGUGGUGGAGUGUAUAGAAGUGAGAAUGCCGGUAUGAGUAGCGAAAGUCCGAUGAAAAAUCGGACCGCCGAAAGCCCAAGGUUUUCUCCGCCAUGUUAAUCAGCGGAGAGUUAGUCGGCACCUAAGGCGAGGCCAAAUGGCGUAGCUGAUGGACGAUCUGUCAAAAUUCAGAUACUGAAGCUUCUUGUUUGAAAGCUUUGCGGAUGGACAGAAUGGGAAUAGUCUAGCCCUCUAUAUGGGGGUUUAAGUAUCAAACUAGUGGAAGUAGGAAAAUCCGCUUCGCAGGGAAACCUGCAGUUGGUUACUUCUCCGAUGUUAUGUCGGAGAUUUACAACCAAUCACUAUAAUGUGAGUUACGAAUACGUAAGUAGAUGAUUUUCUGUUUUCAAGAAAAGAUUCGCAAAGGGGGAAGUUUUAGCCGUACCAUAAACCGACACAGGUGGGCGAGUUGAGUAUACAAAGGCGAUCGGGAGAACUAUCCUUAAGGAACUCGGCAAUACAGCUGGACGUAAGUUAGCAAGAUGUCGCUGAGCGACUGUUUAACAAAAACACAGGUCCGUGCUAAAGCGAAAGCUGAUGUAUACGGGCUGACACCUGCCCAGUGCCAGUAAUUUAAUGUUUCAAGUGACUCUGAGAAGUAAUUCGAGGACGAGCCUGGGGCCUAAGAUCUGGUGAACGGCAGCAGUAACUAUAACUGUUCUAAGGUUUUGGAAUUUGCGAAGUUCCUUGUCUGGCGAGUUCAGACCCGCACGAAAGGUAGAACGACUUAGCGACUGUCUUGAGGAUAGACCCGGCGAAAUUGCAGUGGCUGUGAAGAUGCGGCCUUCCCAUACUUGGACAAAAAGACCCCGUGGUUUGGCGACAAUGAAACACCUCUCUUUUAAUUUUUUAAGUCUCUAGCCUCGCCCGUAAUCCGGGCGGGUAACAAGGUCUGGCGGGCAGUUUAACUGGGGCGGUUGCCUCCAAAAGAGUAACGGAGGCGUACAAAGGUACACUUAAGGCCAAUGGUAACGGCCUUUAAAGCGCAAAAGUAUAGAGUGUGCUUGACUGCGAGACCCACAAGUCGAGCAGGUGCGAAAGCAGGUUUUAGUGAUCCUUAGGUGGUUCGUGGGAGCGCCUAGGCUUAACGGAUAAAAGUUACCCCGGGGAUAGAACAGGCUAGUCUUACCCAACAGUCCACAAGGACGGUAAGGUUCGGCACCUCGAUGUCGGCUCAUCACAUCCUGCGGCUGAAGAAGGUCGCAAGGGUCGGGCUGUUCGCCCGUUAAAGUGGUACGCGAGCUGGGUUCAGAGCGUCGUGAGACAGCUCGGACUCUAUCCAGUAUGGGCGUUUGGAUACUUGAAGGGAGUUAUUUCUAGUACGAGAGGACCGAAAUGAGGAAACCUCUAGUGUGCCGGUUGUCACAAAAUGGCAGCGCCGGGUAGCUACGUUUCUAACUGAUAAGCGCUGAAAGCAUCUAAGCACGAAGCAGGCCCUAAGAUUAGGUAUCUUUUAAGACCCCUGGGAGACUACCAGGUCCCGUAAGGGAAUCCUGAAAGCAAUUGAAGGAUUGAUAGGAGUGCGGUGGAAGUGCAGCAAUGUAUUAAGCUUACACUUACUAAUGGUC
Molecule: ribosomal RNA, 2891 nt
Filed under: Candidatus Daviesbacteria bacterium GW2011_GWB1_41_15
Lineage: Bacteria; Candidatus Daviesiibacteriota
Description: bacterial LSU rRNA
Rfam family: Bacterial large subunit ribosomal RNA
Source: RNAcentral